UAGGAUUCCAUGCACCAAGAUUUGGGAAUACUCGAUCACUUACAGGCAGAGAAGGUUUUGCGAUCAUAAUUGUAAUACAACUUAUAACUUGCGCUAGCAUCAACGUGAAAGCAACAUGAUCUCUCGCCAGGGUUUGCAGUAACAUUACACCGACACCGACUCCCUGUAUCCCGUCCCAUAGAGCUAGCAAAAGCCAUACUGACUUCGUCAGCAAGGCAGAAGCCUUACCAGCCCAUGGUAAAUUAAUUCCGAGACCCGAGGAUGACCAAAACUCUAAGCACCAGCGUGGACAAAUGAGGCCCAAUCCAAAUAUCACUGGAAACCAAACGUUAUUAAGAGACAAAAUCUUUAUAACUGAUAAGAGAACGGCCCAAACCACGAUGAAGAAAAUGAGUAAAAGAAUGAUUAUGCUCCACAAAGGAGUGUUGCUAGUAUUCCAGAAAAACCUCCAAGCCUGGCCAUAAGGGACAGCAAGCCAGUAAUUGAUUAAAAUUUGAGAGAUAAAAAACCAAAUUACAAUAUUUCGUUUUCCUAAUGAACGAUAAAACGCUGGAAUGAUAGAAGGAGCUUGGCGAUAAAAAGCAGGUAAACCUGCGAAUGUUACGUAGGAAAGCCCGAAGCAAAUGAAAGAGGCGAUAAGUCCCCCUGCAAAAAUGCCAGGCCCCACAUUUUGAGUCAAAUCUUUCUUCGAUAAUAGAUCUCCCCAUGACCAGAGGAUUGCAGACCAAAUCUGUUGAAUCCCAUGUACAAGACAGGCCCUCAAAAUCCAAUGAUGAGUUGCGAUACCUCCUUCGGCACCAAAAUUCCAUGCAAAAUACAGCGAUCCAGUAGAACUUGAAAUGGCAUAAACGUAAGCCGCUAUGUGUUGAAUUACCGAACAAGCAGUAGUUUUCUGGAAAAAGUGAGUGAUCGCAACUAAAAUGAAAGAUAUGCCAAAAAAGAAGAAAGGGAGAGAUAAAAUGUAUCUCGCUUGAACCACUCGGGAUAAGAACCACCAAAACAGAGAGAAGAAUGAGAAAAUAGAGAGCAGAAUGUACAUGGACACUGUAGAUUGCGCAGAUUCUCCAGAAAGUAAAGUUAAUUGAUAAGAAGAUGCUCCAAGAAUUUGCCCAAUUGCCAAUACAAUCGUAUAUAGAGGCCAUCCACCAAUACUGUGAAGAAGUAAUUUUUGUAACCGAGUAGCUUCAUAUGUAUCACAAUCAAUUUGCUUGUAAGACUCCGAGACUGUGCAACUCUUUUCUUUAUCUGAGCGAGACUUUAAUUUCACA
Schizosaccharomyces pombe (fission yeast) is the source of this 1268-nucleotide non-coding RNA. Lineage: Eukaryota; Fungi; Ascomycota; Schizosaccharomycetes; Schizosaccharomycetales; Schizosaccharomycetaceae. The record is from the annotation of a GenBank genome assembly.